Molecule: ribosomal RNA, 468 nt
Filed under: uncultured bacterium
Lineage: Bacteria
Description: partial 16S ribosomal RNA
Rfam family: Bacterial small subunit ribosomal RNA
Source: RNAcentral
GACGAACGCUGGCGGCGUGCUUAACACGUGCAAGUCGAACGGAAAGGCCCUGCUUUUGUGGGGUGCUCGAGUGGCGAACGGGUGAGUAACACGUGAGUAACCUGCCCUUGACUUUGGGAUAACUUCAGGAAACUGGGGCUAAUACCGGAUAGGAGCUCCUGCUGCAUGGUGGGGGUUGGAAAGUUUCGGCGGUUGGGGAUGGACUCGCGGCUUAUCAGCUUGUUGGUGGGGUAGUGGCUUACCAAGGCUUUGACGGGUAGCCGGCCUGAGAGGGUGACCGGCCACAUUGGGACUGAGAUACGGCCCAGACUCCUACGGGAGGCAGCAGUGGGGAAUUUUGCACAAUGGGCGGAAGCCUGAUGCAGCAACGCCGCGUGCGGGAUGACGGCCUUCGGGUUGUAAACCGCUUUCGCCUGUGACGAAGCGUGAGUGACGGUAAUGGGUAAAGAAGCACCGGCUAACUACGUG